This 413-nucleotide ribosomal RNA is filed under the name uncultured bacterium. RNAcentral describes it as "bacterial SSU rRNA". It matches the Rfam family "Bacterial small subunit ribosomal RNA", at positions 917 to 1333 of the family's 1533-position model. The record is from RNAcentral.
GGGCCCGCACAAGCGGUGGAGCAUGUGGUUUAAUUCGAUGAUACGCGAGGAACCUUACCAGGGCUUAAAUGGGAAAUGACAGGGGCAGAGACGCCCCCUUCUUCGGACAUUUUUCAAGGUGCUGCAUGGUUGUCGUCAGCUCGUGCCGUGAGGUGUCAGGUUAAGUCCUAUAACGAGCGCAACCCCUACCGUUAGUUGCCAGCGUGUAAUGACGGGGACUCUAACGGAACUGCCGGUGCAAACCGUGAGGAAGGUGGGGACGACGUCAAAUCAUCACGGCCCUUACGUCCUGGGCCACACACGUGCUACAAUGGUAGGUACAGAGGGAAGCCACUUCGCAAGAAGGAGCGAAUCCUUAAAACCGGUCUCAGUUCGGAUCGGGGUCUGCAACUCGGCCCCGUGAAGCUGGAAUC